GCCAAGGAAAAAAACCACGGGGGAUGGGAAUAGUGAAGCACCCCUAAAACCUCAUAUUAGUCAACAGCUUUAAUCCUCUUUUCCUCUGCAUAUUUUAUCAGUACAGGCCACAUUUGAGGAGGCUGUUGUUGGCUUGAAUUUCUGCUUCUUGAAUGUCCCAUAGCAAUGAGGAGUCAAGUAGCUAAGUGAUCACAACUCUCAGUCAAGCCUUUCAUGAUUCUCUACUGGUUACCCCAAUAAUCUGGGUGGGAGCUCUCUUCGUGUACCUGCUCCGUUAUAUGCGACCGUCCAAGGUAAAUGCCUCCAGGUUCAGUGAUUCCUCCACUCCCUUAAAAUCAGAUGACAAAUACUAC
RNAcentral lists this long non-coding RNA (353 nucleotides) under Canis lupus familiaris (dog). RNAcentral's name for it is "lncRNA (ENSCAFG00845018405.1)". The record is from RNAcentral. Lineage: Eukaryota; Metazoa; Chordata; Mammalia; Carnivora; Canidae.